UACGUAGGGUGCAAGCGUUAAUCGGAAUUACUGGGCGUAAAGCGUGCGCAGGCGGUUUUGUAAGUCUGUCGUGAAAUCCCCGGGCUCAACCUGGGAAUUGCGAUGGAGACUGCAAGGCUAGAAUCUGGCAGAGGGGGGGUAGAAUUCCACGUGUAGCAGUGAAAAUGCGUAGAGAUGUGGAGGAACACCGAUGGCGAAGGCAGCCCCCCUGGGUCAAGAUUGACGCUCAUGCACGAAAGCGUGGGGAGCAAACAGG
Molecule: ribosomal RNA, 256 nt
Filed under: uncultured bacterium
Lineage: Bacteria
Description: partial 16S ribosomal RNA
Rfam family: Bacterial small subunit ribosomal RNA
Source: RNAcentral